ACCAGUUCCAGGGCCUCUACCAAAUGUGGCAGCAGGAGGCACAGAAGGGGAGACUUCACAUAAGGAGAGCAAGCAUGGAGUCCACCCGAGUAUUCUUCCCUCUGGUAAUAGCCAGGCUUAAACAAAUUGGUUCCAUGUGUACCCUCCCCAACACCUAGUUGAUAGCUUUGUUACCGCGGCUUUCGCCCUGUUUUCACAUGAUGAUAGACCUGCCUCUUUGUAUUGUAACCUGUCCUGAUAUCACUAGGAGUCUCGUGCCAGGGUUUCACUCUCUGAUUCUCUAACGUAUCUCUAUUAUAGUUGACUUUGCAAUACAGCUUCGUUACUGGGGAAGAGGGUUCUUAUCAUAUUUCAAAUGGUCUUUAAUGGUAUUGAUUUUUAUGUUUUCUUUUUCUUUCUUAACUAAUGAGGUGAGAAAAAACAAGUUAGGCAGAAGGAAAAUAUAAGUCUGAGCCCACCGUGGCUAAGGAAGCAAGCGCCAAAGCCUUGAAUUCUUCCUACCAUAGUUCCGAGUAGCUAUUAAGUUUCUCUCCUUGGACUUAGAGCCUCCUAACCAUAGCUCAGCUAUGUGCUUCCUUGAGGGCUGGAUGACUAUAACCUUAACAUUCCUGAGUAGGGUUCAGUGUUUUUUAACUGCCUUUUGAAACCAGAGUCUCCUAUAACUGAAAGAUACAGGAUACAUGAAGGAAGGAAGGUGGGUGGGUGUGGAAGGCGCUCUUCUAACAACUGCUUUCCCAGCCAGUGGCUAGCUCAAGGAACCAAAACCAUGAGAGUAUUUUCAGCCAGGGCCAGGCCUCGGAGCAAAUUAUGAUUCACCCAGGAUCUAGACAUACACUAUCCUUCCUUGUCUUCGGGGCCUAUGUACUAAAGCAUCCCUUCGGGUGGAUGCCUGAAAUCCUCAAUAGUACCAAUGCUUGUAAAUAGCACAAUUGUUAAUCUCAUCACUGAGGGGACUAAUAAGUGACUAAAGAAAGGCUGCCUGUAUAGCAUGGAUACACUGGAUAAAUAUAUGAUUGAUGGUCCAUGUGGGAUGGAGCAAGCUUUCAUCACACUGCACAGAAUGGCACAUAAUUUAAAACUGAUCAGCCAUUUGACUCUACGAUGUUCCAUUUAAUAUUGUCAACCAUGGUUGAGCAUGAGAACGGAAACUCUGGAAAGUCAAACUGCAGGUAAGAGGGAUUGAUGCGCAAAGCACUAAAGCUGUUGCUCUCGCCAAGACCUGACGUUGGUAGCCAGCUUCUAUCCUGGAAAAGCAUCCAAGUGAGCAAUAGCAAGAGGGGACUCAUCACCAAACCGCCCUUCUAUCUUGCUCAGUCUUCUGUUCCCUACUAACUGGGUACAUUCCUUGAUGAUGUCGCCUAACGAUCUCUCAAAAGCCCAAAACAACCAAGCCCUGGCAUCACCACCUGUCACAGCUGAGUUCCUCAGGGUCCUUGGACAUUCCCUGUAGCUUCAGUGUUACUUUAUUCAACCAAAGAAUUGGCCAAGGAACUUCACAGCUGCUACAAAUACCGGCCACUCUCUUCCAUUCUCUGCACACUGUGUCUGACAGCUAUGGGAGAAUCUUGGCUGGCGAGGUAUUCUAAAGGGAUGGGAGCCUUUUCUAUGAGCCAUUGGGUAUGCUUUUUAGUACUGCUGCCUCUGCAAUAAGCACUGUUUAUCUCUCAGUACUGCCAUUCUCCCCUCAAGUGGGAGAUCACAAAUUAUCUUCAACAUGACUCUAAAAGUAUACUGAGCGCUGAAGCUCAGUUGCUGCUAUGCUAUGCUAUGGUGUACCACAAAGUACUGUGCAGCGCUAUGCUGCGUUAUGCUGUUCUGUGCUUUUCUGUUCAGAAUGGCUGAGAGUUUACCCAAAGUAAAAUUGAGAGGGGUGAGGAACUGUUUGAAUAAAAGCCACACUUGCCUUACCUUUUUUAAAUAUAAUGGGCCCUAGGACAAUCAAUAAGGAAGUUGAAAUGUCUUAUACUAGAAUAGUGAGAGUUGUGUGUUCUGUCAUUCCAAGAUGUGUUUGGCUACAGUAGAACAAGGAACAUUCACUUUACUGGAUAUCAUGGCCAUAGGCUGGGUAUUUGUAGCCUUCGUUAGGUUUAUUAUACCUUAAGUAUAUGAUACCAAAAAUACUGUUAACUGUGGUUUGUGUGUGUUUGUUUGUUUGUUGUGUUGGCAUUGUUAGAGAUGGAGCCCAACACCUUAUAUAUACUGGGCAAGUGUAUCACUGAGCUAUAGCCCCAGCCUUAAUUCUCAGUUUUUAUCACUUGCCCCACCUCAAAAUGGUUUAUACAUUUGGAAUCAGAAUACACGGCUGAGUUUCCAAAGUAUUUGAAAGAUAACUUCACAACUAUACAGAGCUCAAUAGACUGAACUAACACUGGUAUGCCCUACUCCUGCUAUGGCCUUCCCAAAGUGAGAAUACAAAAUGCCAGUGCUAUUGGCAUGGGUUCAUUCUCUUUCUCUCUCUCUCUCUCUCUCUCUCUCUCUCUCUCUCUCUCUCUCUCUCGUCUUGCCUUCUGGGAUCAGCCAUCUUUCAAGGCCUCUGCGAAGAUAGCAGAGCGGCAUGGAAGUACGUUCAGAGGUUGACCCACCCCCUCAAAGGUUGCUGAUCAUCUACUCUUUCCCUUCAAAUAAAUCUCAUUGGAUAAUACAAAAGCAGGGUGGUGGAUACAAGGGAAUCAAUGCAAGAUUGUGAUCAUAUGCCUGUUCUUCUCCCAUCCCCAGGGCUGUAGGUAAUUGACUCCCCUCAAGUACUACUAUUGAAGGCUCAGCUAAGACAUAAAAGUAAAUACCCAAGUGGAGUCUAAAGGAAUGGGAUAGCUUUACUGAAAUUAAAGUCCUAAAAAGGGAGAAAUUGGAUGCACAGGAAAGGAAAGAGAGUAAAAAUAUGAAAAGCCUCUUUGAAGAUUGGCUUCAUACUUCUGUUUGCCAUUUAACCUCAUAUGCCAAGAAAGGUGCCUAAGGGGUACCAGACUUUUCUAAUACCAAGCCUCCACUAGAGGAAGUUGGGUGUACUUCUGGCUAUGUCUACCCAUGUGGAAUUUGGUAGCUCUUUCUUUGCCAGAGGAGCUAUGUAUGGCAGUAAUAAUUAUGUGGCAGAAUAUUGUAUUAUUUGAAGAUUAAAUCCUUAGAAGGGGGCAGGGUGUGGGGCAGUGUAUAUAAAGAGUCAGUGUUUGCUGGACAAUUUCGGGGAAUUGUCUAUCCCAUUUAAUGCUAUUAUUUUUCUGGGUCUUACUACAUUUGUGUCCUCCACCACUUCCUUCUUGGCUGACGUUGAUAUGCCUGCCAUAUUGUCAUCAAGGACCAUACUUCAAUAAAAGGUGCUAAGGAC
RNAcentral lists this long non-coding RNA (3322 nucleotides) under Mus musculus (house mouse). RNAcentral's name for it is "long non-coding RNA chrX:6634126-6637448". The record is from RNAcentral. Lineage: Eukaryota; Metazoa; Chordata; Mammalia; Rodentia; Muridae.